This 1861-nucleotide long non-coding RNA is filed under the name Bos grunniens (domestic yak). RNAcentral's name for it is "lncRNA (ENSBGRG00000009852.1)". Lineage: Eukaryota; Metazoa; Chordata; Mammalia; Artiodactyla; Bovidae. The record is from RNAcentral.
AUGAUAGCAUACCAUGUAAACUGUUCUGCACCUUGCUUUUUAUAUAUUAAAAUUUAUUUUCUUCCAAAAUUUUGUCCUAAUGAAAUAUGCUGCUUCCUUUUUGAGUUAAUUUUGACCAUUUCUUCAGAAAACUACCUGUUUCCUCAAUAUUUUCCAGUAGUAUUCAGAGUUAGAACAACCAACAAAGUUCUUCAUACCCAUUGGUCUGUUAAUCCCACUUUCACCACUUACAAAGUUUCUAAGCUAUUUGGGGCAAGCCUGUGACUCCUGAUGUAGGGUAAAUGUUCACAGAGGGUAAUGAGUGUAGCGUAUUAAAGAGUAAUGAAUCAGUUUGGAAAUUUUGUGAGAUAUGGUUGCAAUUAAGAACAUAAAAUAAUUACUAUUUUAGGAGUGUAGCCCUAUGCCACCCCCUUUCUCUUCAACUUUCUUUCCUGAGUUUCUCUCUUCAUAGCAUAUUAUCUCACAUUCAACUUGUACCCUAUUAGUUAAAUGAGGAACACUGGCAUUUUUAGACUGAAAUAACCCCUAGGUAAGCCAAACACUGACUUUCUCAACAAUUGUUGUAUGGCCUGUCCUCCUCUUAAGCCAGCACCAAGGCCGUCUUGAAAUUAGUGGCAAAGAGGCCAAGAGAUAAGGUUAGGUGUUACAGUUGUGGUUUUCAGUUGGGGAGAGAUAACUAACUUUGGAGGUUGGCAAGGAAACAGAAAAGUUUAUUAAAGGCCUCAGGAAGCCAGAAGGGACUUGGUAACCUGAUAAGAGUGCUGAGGUCAGGACAGGGUAGGGGUGGCAUUGGGGUGAGAAUGGUACUGGCAGGGGUGGUGGAGGAUGUAUGGGAGGCUGAAGCUGAGCCUGAGGAAUUGUACAUAAUAUUCUCUUGUAACAUUUUUUUUUUAAGUUUCAUAUCUACUGGUGUCAUUUUUAAUAUUUUUCCCAUCAGUAUUGCACAAGUACUGAAAAUGUGCUUGGUCUGACAAGGUGAAUUAUAAGAAUAUUUAAACAAAACAGAACAACACACACACACCUCAUUAGUUUGGGAAUUUCAUCACACUACAGCCACAUUCUUUUACGUUUACUACUUGUGUGCUUUCCUAGAUUGCCCAACCAAAAAAAAUAAAGCUCCCUAUUUCACAUCAUCCCCUACCCUGUUUGUUAAAAGUGGAAAAUUAGUAUUUAUUUGCCCCAACUGGCACUCUAGCAUAUAUUGCUCACUUGCCUGAUCUCAUGUUAGCCUGGGGCGAGGUGAACUGGAGUCUGAAACACUGAGAAAGUCCCGAGAUGAGACAGAAAAAGAGAUAGGGACAUGCAGGAGUAUUCUUUUAAAAGUUACUUUAAUAUUCACCCUCUUUCAGCCUUGAACAUCUUCAGUACUUGCCCCAGAUCGCUUAGGCGCAACAGUAGAAGGAGCAGUUGGUAGGGAAGGGUUCAUCUUUUUAUUCAGCAGCUGGGAAACCGUCGCUCUGCCGCUGGGGGAGGAGCAGGGUUUUUCCCUAAGGUGCAGUUGUGGGGUGAGGUUGGGGGCGGCACACUGAGCCUCCGCCUGAGAGCCGGAAGCAGGCACUGGAGGGGGAGUGGCGCUGAGCCGGGGGAGGAGUGAGAGAAGGAAGCGGCAGUCCCUUGGCAUACGGAGCCAGCUGAAAAUCAGGGUUGAAUGUUAAAAAGGGAGCGUAUUUAGCGACACUCCUGGCCCCGAAGAAAGGAACUGAGGCGACACGAAUCCCCCUGUCCAACACCCAGAAGACGAGACACAAGUGCCAGGGCCGCCAGCAGCUGUUAGGCGCUUUUUGGUGACGCGGCCUCCGCGCGCAGACGCGCUGACGGGCCGCGGCCUCCACGUCGCAGGUUCCGCAAAGGCUUGUGGGAG